This 1669-nucleotide ribosomal RNA is filed under the name Clostridioides difficile T10. Its description in RNAcentral is "bacterial LSU rRNA". It matches the Rfam family "Bacterial large subunit ribosomal RNA", at positions 402 to 2091 of the family's 2925-position model. The record is from RNAcentral. Lineage: Bacteria; Bacillati; Bacillota; Clostridia; Peptostreptococcales; Peptostreptococcaceae.
AUGAUCCAGAGUACCACGGGACACGUGAAACCCUGUGGGAAGCAGGAGGGACCACCCUCCAAGGCUAAAUACUACCUAGUGACCGAUAGCGUAUAGUACCGUGAGGGAAAGGUGAAAAGAACCCCGGGAGGGGAGUGAAAUAGAACCUGAAACCCUGCACUUACAAGCUGUGGAAGCACAUUUCUUGUGUGACCGCGUACUUUUUGUAGAACGGGCCAACGAGUUACGUUAAGUAGCAAGGUUAAGCACUUAAGGUGCGGAGCCGUAGCGAAAGCGAGUUUUAACUGAGCGUUCAGUUACUUGACGUAGACCCGAAACCGGGCGACCUACCCAUGAGCAGGAUGAAGCGAAAGUAAAAUUUCGUGGAGGUCCGAACCCACGAGCGUUGAAAAGCUCGGGGAUGACUUGUGGGUAGCGGUGAAAUUCCAAUCGAGCCCGGAGAUAGCUGGUUCUCCCCGAAAUAGCUUUAGGGCUAGCCUCAAGGUGAGAGAUACGGAGGUAGAGCACUGAAUGUCCUAGGGGGUAUUGCACCUACCGAAGACUAUCAAACUCCGAAUGCCGUCAUCUUAUACUUGGGAGUCAGACUGUGGGUGAUAAGAUUCAUAGUCGAAAGGGCAACAGCCCAGAUCGUCAGCUAAGGUCCCUAAAUGUAAGUUAAGUGGUAAAGGAUGUGGGAUUGCACAGACAACCAGGAUGUUGGCUUAGAAGCAGCCACUCAUUCAAAGAGUGCGUAAUAGCUCACUGGUCGAGUGAUCCUGCGCCGAAGAUUUCCGGGGCUAAAACUUACUACCGAAGCUACGGCAUCAGUAAUGAUGGGUAGGGGAGCUUCCCAUACGGGUUGAAGCAUGACCGUAAGGACAUGUGGACAGUAUGGGAGUGAGAAUGUUGGCAUGAGUAGCGAGAUGUGGGUGAGAAUCCCACAGGCCGUAAACCCAAGGUUUCCAGGGGAAGGUUCGUCCGCCCUGGGUUAGUCGGGACCUAAGCUGAGGCCGAAAGGCGUAGGUGAUGGACAACAGGUUGAUAUUCCUGUACUACCGAUAACCGUUUGAGAGAAGGGAUGACACAGUAGGAUAAGCUAAGCACACUGUUGGUUAUGUGUGCCCAAGCAUUGAGGCAGUCAAAGUAGGCAAAUCCGCUUUGAUAAUGCUGGGAUGUGAUGGGGAGCGAAAUUUAGUAGCGAAGUAGCUGAUUUCACACUGUCAAGAAAAGUCUCUAUCGAGGUUAAAGGUACCCGUACCGCAAACCGACACAGGUGGGUGAGGAGAGUAUCCUAAGGCCAGCGAGAGAACUGUUGUUAAGGAACUCGGCAAAAUGACCCCGUAACUUAGGGAUAAGGGGUGCCACCAUCAGGUGGCCGCAGAGAAUAGGCCCAAGCGACUGUUUACCAAAAACAUAGGUUUCUGCUAAGUCGCAAGACGAUGUAUAGGAGCUGACGCCUGCCCGGUGCUGGAAGGUUAAGGGGAUCUGUUAGAGCAAUCGAAGCAGUGAACUUAAGCCCCAGUAAACGGCGGCCGUAACUAUAACGGUCCUAAGGUAGCGAAAUUCCUUGUCGGGUAAGUUCCGACCCGCACGAAAGGCGUAACGAUUUGGGCACUGUCUCAACAACAGACUCGGUGAAAUUGUAAUUCCGGUGAAGAUGCCGGAUACCUGCGACAGGACGGAAAGACCC